RNAcentral lists this ribosomal RNA (253 nucleotides) under uncultured bacterium. RNAcentral describes it as "partial 16S ribosomal RNA". It matches the Rfam family "Bacterial small subunit ribosomal RNA", at positions 524 to 776 of the family's 1533-position model. The record is from RNAcentral.
UACGUAGGGUGCAAGCGUUGUCCGGAAUUAUUGGGCGUAAAGAGCUCGUAGGCGGUCUGUCGCGUCUGCUGUGAAAAUCCAGGGCUUAACCCUGGACCUGCAGUGGGUACGGGCAGACUAGAGUGCGGUAGGGGAGAUCGGAAUUCCUGGUGUAGCGGUGAAAUGCGCAGAUAUCAGGAGGAACACCGGUGGCGAAGGCGGAUCUCUGGGCCGUAACUGACGCUGAGGAGCGAAAGCAUGGGGAGCGAACAGG